Molecule: long non-coding RNA, 2374 nt
Organism: Lutra lutra (Eurasian river otter)
Lineage: Eukaryota; Metazoa; Chordata; Mammalia; Carnivora; Mustelidae
Exons: 4
Source: RefSeq, a predicted model, not a curated record
GUCCACCUGGCCUCCAGCCGCGCUCUGAGCUGACCGAGCCUGCGACCGGUUCAAGAUACUUCAAAAAGCUCAGGGACCACCAGAUGAGAUCAGGGUCAACACUCACUGGAUUUUGUGAACCCGAGAGCAGAAGCCAAAUAUAUCCACAGCACUCUCCAAUGUAUGAGUGACCUCAUCAGGAGCCUUUUCCCCAGGGAAACCAAAGACACAGAAGAAGGAGCAGUCCUAUGAGGGAGAGAGUCAGCAAACACAGCUAGUGCAUGGUGACCUUUAAAGGUGACCAACCAGAAGGCCCAGUGGAAGAGAUGUUCAAGGCAUUUAAUCAAAUUAUCCUCCAUUCCCUGUUUCCCCAAUGCAACUGUUUGAAAUUCCUGCCCACUCACUGGAACCUGCUGCCCUUGAUGCUGAGAAGUAAAGCAACAGGGAUUAUGAGCCAAAAACUGCCUUUCUAAGGCUUUGGAGCUGCUGUGGCCUUUGGAGUGGCAGGAGUGAAAGAGGAGGGGGUGGUUGACCAGUGCAGUCAGGAUAGUGGGCCAGGGCAUGGAGCAGGUGUGGGGUGGGUGCUGGGCCUGUUGAACACUGACCAGGGCCAGGCAUCGUGGCAGCAGCUGCUGAGUGCCAAGGGCAGGUUGUUGGACAGACUACUGGACAUCCAGGCUGGUACAGUGCGGCUGCUGAGAAAAAUGCUUUACAUAAUAAGGAAGUUAGGAUUCAAAGAUCUAUUAACAAGAAAGAAAAGGUGCAACUUAGAGGAGGUCCAAGUUGGAGCAACUUAAAGCUUGAAAAUCUGAAGAGGCACAUAAAUUGGGACCAUCACCUUUGCUUCUAGAGAUUUUAACAAGAACUAGCAUUUCUUUAUCCAAGAUGACAAUUUCCACACCUGAUUUAUCAACACUUCAUAACCGCUCCAGCCAUUUCUCUGGCCACUAUGAAACUGUCAAAAGAAAUGCACCCUAAUUUCGGACCCAAGUGCAUUUUUUGGGAGAGAGAGAUUCAGAGUUGAUUCGCAGCAGAUUCAUUUAGCUCUAGUAAAUGUUUACUCUCUAAAGUGGAAAAUAGUAUAAGUAGAAUUUCUCUUUUAGGGGUCUCUCUUAGAAGUCAUUAUCCUGGGUGAUGGAUCCAUUGCUGACUUGUCCGAGGUGAUGUUUUGCUACAGAGUGCAUGGAGAGAACAGUAUGAAGGCACAGUAGCAUGUAUGAAAUUUGAAAUUUGCUGUGUGGAACCUUGGGUAACAGAAGAUGCAGUUGAUUAGAGUUUUGUUUGAAAAGAGAGGAAACAAGUCUCCAUCAGGGAUGCCUUUAAACACCAAGACAAACAAUAAUAUGCUCCUCAUAUGUAUCCACAGCCAACCUGAAUCUCUUCCAUCUUUGACAACAGCAGCCAUAAAACGAAGAGAAAUCAGUAUCUGAAGGAUAAUCUCAUUCACAAAGCAAGCAUUCACUCACUCUCAUUCAUGAAGCUUUAUACACUAGAGGCUAAAAACAGACCUAGGCUUCUGUAAGCAAGACUGUCAAUAACCAAGGAUUCUCCCACUGACACUCCUCUGUCCCCAUCAUUGAUGGACAUUUUGUAUGUUCUGAAUUGGCAUCUCCACCAGAUGUGGAGGCAGAUGGUGACAAUAAUCAUAAUCACAGUUUUAAUCAAAAUUAUGAUAGCAGCUACAAUUUAUUGAGCUCUUAAUUUAUGUCAGGUACCAUGGUAAGCACUGUAUUAAAAUGGUGUAAUCCCAACGAAAAGUUCCCAGAAACACAGGUACGAUCGCUACUCUCCUGAUAAGAGAUGAAAACAAAAAAAAACAAAACAAAACAGAACAAAACAAGAACAGACUUGGAGAGCUUACAGACUUGGCAAAAUUUGCAGAGCUAAGAACUGACAGAACCUUGACCAAAAUAAAGCCUGCUAGACUCAGGAGUCUGAGCUCCUAAAACAGAUUUAUCAAUCUCUAUGUGGAUACAUGUUAUCGACAGAGGACUCUGGAAAGAAAAAAAUCAGGAAACACUAAAAAAGUAAAGCCUGAGGAUGAAUGCUUCCUUGUGCUAAUCUCUCUCCAUGUAAGAUUGUGGCUGAACUGGCACAUCCGCUGGGCCCUAUGUUAGCUCCUCUGCUGGUCUGAUCCGUUGGAUGGCAGUGGGCCACGUGGAUAUCCCCACUGCCCUCAGGGAGUGCGUGCCCAACCUGUAUUUGGCAGGCAAGGACAAGGAGAAACAGGAGUGCAGCUGUGCGAGCGGGGAUCUUCCUUUGUGUGCAGAGGCCCACAUGUAUUUUGAUCAGCUGUUCCAAACUCUGUUGACAUACACAUUUAAGAAGAGGCAAUCUUCCAAAAAGAUACUGGGUUAGCCAUCUCACAAAGAUUUCACAGUUAGGCUUUAAGAAA